CCUACGGGUGGCAGCAGUGAGGAAUAUUGGGCAAUGGGCGCGAGCCUGAACCAGCCACGUAGCGUGAAUGAUGACUGCCCUACGGGUUGUAAACUUCAUGUACAAAGGAAUAAAGUGAGCCACGCGUGCCUUUUUGUAUGUACUUUAUGAAUAAGGAUCGGCUAACUCCGUGCCAGCAGCCGCGGUAAUACGGAGGAUCCGAGCGUUAUCCGGAAUUAGUGGGUUUAAAGGGAGCGUAGAGGGGGUGAUAAGUCAGUUGUGAAAGUUUGCGGCUCAACCGUAAGAUUGCAAUUGAUACUGGCCGACUUGAGUGCAGUAGAGGUAAGCGGAAUUCGUAGUGUAGCGGUGAAAUGCUUAGAUAUCACGAAGAACACCGAUUGCGAAGGCAGCCUACUAAACUGCCACUGACAUUGAUGCUCGAAAGUGUGGGGAGCAAACAGGAUUAGAUACCCUAGUAGUC
RNAcentral lists this ribosomal RNA (460 nucleotides) under uncultured bacterium. Its description in RNAcentral is "partial 16S ribosomal RNA". It matches the Rfam family "Bacterial small subunit ribosomal RNA", at positions 338 to 795 of the family's 1533-position model. The record is from RNAcentral.